Molecule: ribosomal RNA, 253 nt
Filed under: uncultured bacterium
Lineage: Bacteria
Description: partial 16S ribosomal RNA
Rfam family: Bacterial small subunit ribosomal RNA
Source: RNAcentral
UACGAAGGGUGCAAGCGUUAAUCGGAAUUACUGGGCGUAAAGCGCGCGUAGGCGGAUUGGCAAGUUGGGGGUGAAAUCCCGGGGCUCAACCUCGGAAUGGCCUUCAAGACUGCUGGUCUUGAGUUCGAGAGAGGUGAGUGGAAUUCCGAGUGUAGAGGUGAAAUUCGUAGAUAUUCGGAGGAACACCAGUGGCGAAGGCGGCUCACUGGCUCGACACUGACGCUGAGGUGCGAAAGCGUGGGGAGCAAACAGG